RNAcentral lists this ribosomal RNA (228 nucleotides) under uncultured Gloeobacter sp. Its description in RNAcentral is "partial 16S ribosomal RNA". It matches the Rfam family "Bacterial small subunit ribosomal RNA", at positions 265 to 508 of the family's 1533-position model. The record is from RNAcentral. Lineage: Bacteria; Bacillati; Cyanobacteriota; Cyanophyceae; Gloeobacterales; Gloeobacteraceae.
CUACCAAGGCGAUGAUGGGUAGCUGGUCUGAGAGGACGAUCAGCCACACUGGGACUGAGACACGGCCCAGACUCCUACGGGAGGCAGCAGUUAGGAAUUUUCCGCAAUGGGCGAAAGCCUGACGGAGCAACGCCGCGUGGGUGAUGAAGACCCUCGGGUUGUAAAGCCCUGUCGGAGGGAACGAAGAUCUGACGGUACCCUCCAAGAAAGCCCCGGCUAACUACGUGC